AACGAACGCUGGCGGCAGGCUUAACACAUGCAAGUCGAGCGAGACCUUCGGGUCUAGCGGCGGACGGGCGAGUAACGCGUGGGAACGUGCCCUUCUCUACGGAAUAGCCCCGGGAAACUGGGAGUAAUACCGUAUACGCCCUUUGGGGGAAAGAUUUAUCGGAGAAGGAUCGGCCCGCGUUGGAUUAGGUAGUUGGUGGGGUAAUGGCCCACCAAGCCGACGAUCCAUAGCUGGUUUGAGAGGAUGAUCAGCCACACUGGGACUGAGACACGGCCCAGACUCCUACGGGAGGCAGCAGUGGGGAAUCUUAGACAAUGGGGGCAACCCUGAUCUAGCCAUGCCGCGUGAGUGAUGAAGGCCUUAGGGUUGUAAAGCUCUUUCAGCUGGGAAGAUAAUGACGGUACCAGCAGAAGAAGCCCCGGCUAACUCCGUG
RNAcentral lists this ribosomal RNA (433 nucleotides) under uncultured bacterium. RNAcentral's name for it is "partial 16S ribosomal RNA". It matches the Rfam family "Bacterial small subunit ribosomal RNA", at positions 29 to 507 of the family's 1533-position model. The record is from RNAcentral.